AUUCCCAAGAUGCUGUGCAGUGAGCUCCCGCGAGGCUCCACGCGGCCGUAGUCGACGCCGCGGAGGGGACGCGUGGGAGUGACGGUGUCUGUCGCGGGAGGUCCCCGCAGGGUUGUGGGGCGAUGGGUCAGCUUCUCGCAGCGUGCGGCCCCGCUCCGGGCCAGGCCGCGCUCGCUCCGGGAGACCCUCCGGCCCGCCAGGCGCCGCCUGCCGGGAUCCUCCCGAACUCCUGAUGAGCAGGUAGGGUCCCGAUUGCUUGGCAGGGUGAUGGGGAGUGAGAAAACAGUGCAGGGGGCCUUCCUAGGGCACCGCUGCCCCGUGGGAGGGGGCACGAGUUGUCUGAUAGAGAAUAACUAACACUGACCUAGUCAACGUGAGAGCCGUCUCCACCAACCCCUCCCAAGAGUGCGAUAUGGUUUUGCCCCGGCCUUCUCCCCCGGCGCUCGCUCCUCCGCCCGUAACCCUCCGGCUUCUGCCCCGCCGGCGCUUCGGAGAUUUCUGAGCUUCUUAGGGGACAUGUUUCGGGCCUUCACUUAAGGUACGGGCCGUCUGCGGCAGCAUUGGAACGUCUGUUGAGAUUUCCGCCUGGUAUUCGUUUCCGUGAUGGUAGUCGUGCUUCCUUUCCCGUGCGUGGGUUUCCUUCUCGGAUCAGACCCUUCCCCGGUGUUCUUGUCCUCUGCGUUCCUUCAACUGGUAACUUCAGCCAUCGCCUGAAUGCUUCAAUUCCUUGAGGACACAGCUCCCUCCCGAGCACCAGGGCACCUGCUUCGCGGACACGGCCCUUUGCAAUCCCUGCAGUGAUCUCAGACUCCACACCUUCCACCACAAGGUUGCACCUUCCUCCUGUGCUCCUGACCUCACCGAAGGAUAACGUUCACCCAGCUGUCAGGCUCCAAACCUAGGGGUCCUGCUUCAGUUCGUCCUCUUCGCGUUCCUAAGAGGUUAUUAAGUCAUUUAUCUUCUCCGUAUCGCAUCCCUAAAUUACCGCGGCUGCCCCAUUACACUGCAAUCCAUCUGUAUUACCACCGGGGCCAUCUUUUCAAACCUGACCAUGAAGAAAACCUAUUUAGGAGCCUACAAAAAGCAACAAUUUGGAUUGAGGAUAUAUUCAAGGAAUAAAAUCGGAAGGCCAGACAGAACUGACAGAAAACACUCCAUCCCUGAAAGAAAAGCAGGACGCUGAAAGUGAAUAGAAUCUCCUGAAAGUGAGUAAGACAAUAUAUAAACAUAAUCAUCAAUUGUAAUUUCAUCGAUUCUCUAUAUUCUUUUCUGUAGUAACAGAGUAAUCAGAAUAUUGUAUCAGCAGGGCUUGGCCAGCAGCAUAUUAUUAAAAAAUGCAAGUAAACUGCAGGCUGACCCCAGUUCAGGCAGUCCUCAUGGACUAGAAUGGGAGUGCCUGACUGAUUCCAAAGCCACAGCCUAGAAUAAGGGCCACGUGUCCUCGGAUCAGCUAUCAUCUAUCAUAUGAUAGAUCUUUUAAAUGUUACUAAGGUACACUGGAUAUAGAAUAAACGGCACAUAUUUAAAACGGACGUAUUAGAAAAGUUUUGAUCUACGUAUACACCCGCGAAACCAUCACAAUGGACAUAAUGAACGUGUCCAUCACCCAAAAAUGUUUCCUGGGACUGCUUUGUAAUCAAUCCCUCCCCUUCCCCAAGUAACCACAUUAGAUGAGUUCGAAUUUCCUAGCAUUUUGUAUAAAUGGAAACAUACGAUAUGUAUUUUUUUCUGUCUGGUUGCUUUUUCUCAGCAUCAUUAUCUUGAGAUUCAUUCGUGUUGUUGCAUAGAUAAAUACAUUUCUUUUCAUUGGUGAAUAAUAUUCCAUUGUGUGGAUAUGCCACAGCGUAUCCAUUCACCCAGUAAUGGAUGAAUUUGGGUUGUUUCAAGUUGGGGCUAUUUUACCUAAAGCUGCUAUGCAUGUGUACGUAUAUCUUUCAUGGAUGUAUGAUUUCCGUUGGGGAAACGCCUGGCAACAAAGAAACUGGAAGAUACAGUAAGUGUGCAUUUAAUUUCCAA
This is a long non-coding RNA of Neofelis nebulosa (Clouded leopard), 2016 nucleotides long. RefSeq lists it as uncharacterized. The record is from RefSeq and is a predicted model, not a curated record. The transcript is spliced from 3 exons. NCBI's taxonomy places the organism in Eukaryota, Metazoa, Chordata, Mammalia, Carnivora, Felidae.